CCUACGGGUGGCAGCAGUAGGGAAUCUUCCGCAAUGGACGAAAGUCUGACGGAGCAACGCCGCGUGAGUGCAGAAGGCCUUCGGGUUGUAAAGCUCUGUUGCCAGGGACGAAGAGCGGACAGAGGGAAUGAUGUCCGUGUGACGGUACCUGAGAAGAAAGCCCCGGCUAACUACGUGCCAGCAGCCGCGGUAAUACGUAGGGGGCAAGCGUUGUCCGGAAUUAUUGGGCGUAAAGCGCGCGCAGGCGGCGGCUUAAGUCCGGCGUGAAAAGGAGGGGCUCAACCCUUUCUGGCGCCGGAAACUGGGCGGCUGGAGUACAGAAGAGGAGAGUGGAAUUCCACGUGUAGCGGUGAAAUGCGUAGAGAUGUGGAGGAACACCAGUGGCGAAGGCGACUCUCUGGUCUGUAACUGACGCUGAGGCGCGAAAGCGUGGGGAGCAAACAGGAUUAGAUACCCUAGUAGUC
This 464-nucleotide ribosomal RNA is filed under the name uncultured Paenibacillus sp. Its description in RNAcentral is "bacterial SSU rRNA". It matches the Rfam family "Bacterial small subunit ribosomal RNA", at positions 338 to 795 of the family's 1533-position model. Lineage: Bacteria; Bacillati; Bacillota; Bacilli; Caryophanales; Paenibacillaceae. The record is from RNAcentral.